Astatotilapia calliptera (eastern happy) is the source of this 1332-nucleotide long non-coding RNA. The record is from Ensembl. Lineage: Eukaryota; Metazoa; Chordata; Actinopteri; Cichliformes; Cichlidae.
GGGAGCUAUCAGCACUCACCUCAGCAGAGAAAACAGAGCUGUGAUGAAAGCAAAAAAGUAGAGAGGAGGGGAAAGACUGACAGGCACAGACAGACAGAGAGUGAAGGUUAAAAUGACAGAGAGACAAGCAGGCGGGAGCACGGAGAGAAUGAGGGGGCGAAAAGUGGACAGCUGCGAUGAAACAAGAGCCUGAAAAGAGAUGGAAGGAAAGACGGGCAGACAGACUGACAUCUCUAGCUAUCAAACCCUUGUGGAUUCACCCUGGGGAACACCGGCUCACGUGGCUGCAGAUAAGAGCGGGAGGAAUAAAACAGACAUCAGGUAUGAACAGAAACAAUCCAGACAAGAAGAAAGACAAAGCAAAUAUGCUGAUAGAGGUGGAGUGUGUGUGUGAGAGGCGGGGGCGGCCGGGGCUGCAUGUUUCCCAGAGCUGUCAGGCUGGUGGCUCCGCAGUCAUCAGUGCUCCGCUCUCAAAAUGGAGGACCAGACCACAAGGACCACUUCAGCGUCCAAACACAAAGAAGAGCACGAGCACGAACAGCCAACCACACCGUAAAAUGAAUAUGAAUACAUUAUUAGAUUAUGAAAUGAUGAUACGCACUGAGCACACAUGAAAAGCAGUCAAAUAUCUGUGAUAUUCAAACCACUUCUUGUCAAAGUCAAUCAGAUUAAAACACACACGCACAAUAUGAUCCCCAUCUUUCCCCAGUUCCUGUCCCUGUUCCUGUUUGUGGAGGAUUUUUUUCCCCUGUGGCUGUGAUUUCCGAUCCCUGGCUUCCACACCUGACAUUCGUUAUGUGAUCAUUAGCUACAUGAUCAUGUAGCUACACUGGCUCAUCUGUCCGCUGUCUGUUAGGUCCUUCCAUCAUUUCUACAGGUUCCCUGCAUGUACCAGGCGUCCUUCUCACCAGCGCCUGUGACAUUUGGGAUCUUUGUGGACGAAUCUUCUGUUUACAACCUGAAAUGAACCUACAGUAUUAGGUCAGCGAUCCCCAACCUUUUUUACGCCACGAACCGGUUUAUUUUCAAGGACUGGCCUUUAAGGUGGACGUGUGCUACUCUUGAUGUUUUCUCUGACUCUGUUUUGUCUCUGUUUCCUGUGUAUAGCAUGAAACAGCAGCAUUGUUUCGUCUGCUUUUUUGUCCAGCACAGGGAGUCGGGGUUAGCUAAUGUCUUGUCUUUUGGUUCUGUUGUUCUCUUAGGGAGUUAGGCAGAUUUCUUGUUGGGAGGAUACAUUGGUUUUGUUUAUUAUUGUGGCCUUUGGUUAACACUGAAGUCCAGCCUUGCUGACUGUAAAUAAUAUUCACAGUGUGUUGCAAUAAAGUGUUCAGC